UAAGGAAUAUUGGUCAAUGGACGCAAGUCUGAACCAGCCAUGCCGCGUGGAGGAUGAAGGUCCUCUGGAUUGUAAACUUCUUUUAUCUGGGAAGAAAUGCAUUUUUUCUAAAGUGUUUGACGGUACCAGAUGAAUAAGCACCGGCUAACUCCGUGCCAGCAGCCGCGGUAAUACGGAGGGUGCAAGCGUUAUCCGGAUUCACUGGGUUUAAAGGGUGCGUAGGUGGGCAGUUAAGUCAGUGGUGAAAUCUCCGGGCUCAACCCGGAAACUGCCAUUGAUACUAUCUGUCUUGAAUAUCGUGGAGGUAAGCGGAAUAUGUCAUGUAGCGGUGAAAUGCUUAGAUAUGACAUAGAACACCAAUUGCGAAGGCAGCUUACUACCCGAAUAUUGACACUGAGGCACGAAAGCGUGGGGAUCAAACAGG
Molecule: ribosomal RNA, 424 nt
Filed under: uncultured bacterium
Lineage: Bacteria
Description: bacterial SSU rRNA
Rfam family: Bacterial small subunit ribosomal RNA
Source: RNAcentral